UUUAACUGCUAGAGUGCGAACCAAGCGUAUCCACUUUACCGCAAACAAUCAAAUACUUUCCGCUCCCAUGACAAAGUAUACAAGCAAGUGAAUAGUAGCGCGCGAACUUCAAUACUAUUCAGUAAAAACAACCAAACAAAUACGCCAUUUUUGAGCCGAACUACGAAGCUCUGACUUCCUUAUUACACGUAUGGGGAUACGUAGGCACGAGGGCCCAAAUCCUUGGCGAGCACACUAACUUAAAACUUAUCUUCU
Molecule: long non-coding RNA, 255 nt
Filed under: Lathyrus oleraceus (garden pea)
Lineage: Eukaryota; Viridiplantae; Streptophyta; Magnoliopsida; Fabales; Fabaceae
Description: Pisum sativum (pea) long non-coding RNA (PSAT_LNC037194)
Source: RNAcentral